GAUGAACGCUGGCGGCGUGCCUAAUACAUGCAAGUCGAACGCUUCACUUCGGUGAAGAGUGGCGAACGGGUGAGUAAUACAUAAGUAACCUGGCAUCUACAGGGGGAUAACUGAUGGAAACGUCAGCUAAGACCGCAUAGGUGUAGAGAUCGCAUGGACUCUAUAUGAAAAGUGCUACGGGACUGGUAGAUGAUGGACUUAUGGCGCAUUAGCUUGUUGGUAGGGUAACGGCCUACCAAGGCGACGAUGCGUAGCCGACCUGAGAGGGUGACCGGCCACACUGGGACUGAGACACGGCCCAGACUCCUACGGGAGGCAGCAGUAGGGAAUUUUCGGCAAUGGGGGAAACCCUGACCGAGCAACGCCGCGUGAAGGAAGAAGUAAUUCGUUAUGUAAACUUCUGUCAUAGAGGAAGAACGGUGGAUAUAGGGAAUGAUAUCCAAGUGACGGUACUCUAUA
RNAcentral lists this ribosomal RNA (459 nucleotides) under uncultured bacterium. RNAcentral's name for it is "bacterial SSU rRNA". It matches the Rfam family "Bacterial small subunit ribosomal RNA", at positions 28 to 484 of the family's 1533-position model. The record is from RNAcentral.